CUUUACACCAAAACUGCUUCAUUGACCUAAAGCUGUUUUGAUGACUUUAUUAUCCCUUUAAGGUGUGAUUAUAACAGAAAGCAAGGGAAAUCCAACAUUAAAAAAAUAAAACUUUUUUAAAAAACAAGGAGAGUUAUGAUUUAAAAAAAGACAUCAAUAAAACAUGGAGUUAAGACAUAAAUUCAAAGAAAGGGCAAGGCUACAGCUUGAACAGCUAGGUAAAUACAGCGUUAAAAUAAAGAAGGUUAAAUAAAGCUGAGGUAGG
Non-coding RNA from Pelobates cultripes (western spadefoot toad), 265 nucleotides. NCBI's taxonomy places the organism in Eukaryota, Metazoa, Chordata, Amphibia, Anura, Pelobatidae. The record is from the annotation of a GenBank genome assembly.